AAUCUACUUGCUUUUUAUACUCUGUGACCCAACAGCAAUAUGCCUGGCAUAGAAUAGAGUGAGUGGCACUGCAUAAAGCAGCCAUUACAAUUGUGUCCCUGCAUGUUCUCUUGAUCCUGAAGUCCCCAAAUUACGACUCAUCCAUAUUUCCAGAUGUGAGACUCCAUCCAUUCUGAACACUCAGGCUGAGAAACUCAAACCAAGAAAUACUCAGGGUACCAAAUCUGGUAUAGGAUUGCAGGACAUUGAAUUAUUUUCCCACAAGGAUAGUCAAAGAUCUGCUGUAUGGUGAUCUGAAAUUGAGAAGCUGAACGCAAGGAGGGCAGAGGAAAUGUUUUAAGGACACUGUAAAAUAAAGCUUCAGACAAAACUGUAACACAAUUUAAAAUUGCAAGCUAGUUGUUGAGCAAAGAUCAGCGUGGCAUACUGUAAUCCAGAAAAGUGGCUCUGAAUAAGCUGAAGCUUAUUAAGAAUCAAGAAAACGGUGGCAAGGUGACAGAAGUGAAAACAGUGCUAGGUCUACAGAUAGGCAACAUGACAACUCAAUAAAGGACAUCCUUUUUGUGCA
Long non-coding RNA from Ornithorhynchus anatinus (platypus), 568 nucleotides. RefSeq lists it as uncharacterized. The transcript has 3 exons. NCBI's taxonomy places the organism in Eukaryota, Metazoa, Chordata, Mammalia, Monotremata, Ornithorhynchidae. The record is from RefSeq and is a predicted model, not a curated record.